Molecule: ribosomal RNA, 490 nt
Filed under: uncultured bacterium
Lineage: Bacteria
Description: partial 16S ribosomal RNA
Rfam family: Bacterial small subunit ribosomal RNA
Source: RNAcentral
AUUGAACGCUGGCGGCAGGCCUAACACAUGCAAGUCGAACGGUAACAGGAAGCAGCUUGCUGCUUUGCUGACGAGUGGCGGACGGGUGAGUAAUGUCUGGGAAACUGCCUGAUGGAGGGGGAUAACUACUGGAAACGGUAGCUAAUACCGCAUAACGUCGCAAGACCAAAGAGGGGGACCUUCGGGCCUCUUGCCAUCGGAUGUGCCCAGAUGGGAUUAGCUAGUAGGUGGGGUAACGGCUCACCUAGGCGACGAUCCCUAGCUGGUCUGAGAGGAUGACCAGCCACACUGGAACUGAGACACGGUCCAGACUCCUACGGGAGGCAGCAGUGGGGAAUAUUGCACGAUGGGCGCAAGCCUGAUGCAGCCAUGCCGCGUGUAUGAAGAAGGCCUUCGGGUUGUAAAGUACUUUCAGCGGGGAGGAAGGGAGUAAAGUUAAUACCUUUGCCCAUUGACGUUACCCGCAGAAGAAGCACCGGCUAACUCCGUG